CCUACGGGGGGCAGCAGUGGGGAAUAUUGGACAAUGGGGGCAACCCUGAUCCAGCCAUGCCGCGUGUGUGAAGAAGGCCCUCGGGUUGUAAAGCACUUUCAGUGAGGAAGAACGCCUGGUGGUUAAUACCCAUCAGGAAAGACAUCACUCACAGAAGAAGCACCGGCUAACUCCGUGCCAGCAGCCGCGGUAAUACGGAGGGUGCGAGCGUUAAUCGGAAUUACUGGGCGUAAAGCGCGCGUAGGUGGCUUGAUAAGCCGGUUGUGAAAGCCCCGGGCUCAACCUGGGAACGGCAUCCGGAACUGUGAAGCUAGAGUGCAGGAGAGGAAGGUAGAAUUCCCGGUGUAGCGGUGAAAUGCGUAGAGAUCGGGAGGAAUACCAGUGGCGAAGGCGGCCUUCUGGACUGACACUGACACUGAGGUGCGAAAGCGUGGGUAGCAAACAGGAUUAGAUACCCCAGUAGUC
Molecule: ribosomal RNA, 465 nt
Filed under: Vreelandella stevensii
Lineage: Bacteria; Pseudomonadati; Pseudomonadota; Gammaproteobacteria; Oceanospirillales; Halomonadaceae
Description: partial 16S ribosomal RNA
Rfam family: Bacterial small subunit ribosomal RNA
Source: RNAcentral